This is a long non-coding RNA of Catharus ustulatus (Swainson's thrush), 286 nucleotides long. RefSeq lists it as uncharacterized. The record is from RefSeq and is a predicted model, not a curated record. The transcript has 3 exons. NCBI's taxonomy places the organism in Eukaryota, Metazoa, Chordata, Aves, Passeriformes, Turdidae.
CCCUUUUGGGGUUUGGCUCCAUUUGGGGUUCAGCCCCAUUUAGGGUUUAGUGGGGGUUCAGUUUUGGCCCUAUUUGGGGCUCAGGUGUUUGGCCCCAUUUGGGGUUCAGGGCUUCACCCUAAUUUGGGGUUCGGCUCCAUUUUGGGAUUUAGGGGUUCAGUCUCAGCUCCAUUUGGGGUUCAGGGGUUUGGUUCCAUUUGAGGUUUUGGCCCUGGCCCCAUUUGGGGUUCAGGGGUUCACCCUAAUUUGGGGUUCAGCCCCAUUUGGGGUUCAGCCCCAUUUGGGG